Megalopta genalis is the source of this 3521-nucleotide non-coding RNA. NCBI's taxonomy places the organism in Eukaryota, Metazoa, Arthropoda, Insecta, Hymenoptera, Halictidae. The record is from RefSeq and is a predicted model, not a curated record.
AUAUUUCCGGAGCGAGUUUCCGUUCGGUGACGGUACUUCGGCAGAUGGAGCUGCCGUAGCGAAAGGGUUAAACCUCUGGUCAUGCAAAGUUGUCUGCCCCUCGGUUGGUAACAAUUCAUUGAAGUAAAAUACCUUUCGAUGUUAACGCUUUUGUUGUUCAACGUUAAAUUGCUGAUGUCAAGGUCAUCUUAUAGGUCAUAGUAUAAUAGGUUGUUGAAUUCAUUUUUUCAUCAGCAAUAACCCAUUUAAAAGAGUCAAGGUGACCUUGACAUUUAAUUGAAAAACAAUAGUAUUUGAAAUUUGUUGUAUUUCAAUAUGUCGCCGACUAAGUACUGAUUAACUUUCAUUGGGUACAUUUUGGAUAUUCUUCCUACAUUUUUUUGUCAGACUGUCGAAAGUGCCUGAAAAAUCGUGGCGAUAGGUAUGUACACACCUGGUGUAACGAAACUUUAGAAAAUGCAUUUUGUAGAUCUCAUUUUGUAUAGCUCUUGACAUGAGCUAUAAACUAAAGAUCGUGGAAAUCGCAAUUUUUCACAAAUUUCAACCAAAAACAAAUAAUUUUUACAUCUCUUAGUGGCUGUAGCUCGACUAUGAGUCAGUUGAUUUCAAUGUAAGUUUCAGUUACCGUCAUUUACAAAAUGCGUUUUUUGAAUGUUCGUUACAGGCUCUGAUAAAAAAAGUUGAAAAAACAUUUUUUAAUUCUUUUAUUCUGCUAACCAAUUGCAAUUUUUUUAAAACAAUUUUUAGCCUUGGUCUAGUAAACAAAUGCCUCUAACGUCUCCAAAACAUUUAGAUCGCUUGAUUAAAAAAAUGUCGUUCCGUUUUAAAGAGUGUACGAAUACUUUGUACACCGAUUGUAGGUCUAUAUUGUAAUAAGCAUUUACUUGUUGAAUGCCGAGCUGCCUAAAAAAAUAUUUCUUUUCAGAUCGUAUAAUUCCAAAUAAACUUUGCUUUGCGCAAAUGUGCAACGGGCACGGCAGUCAACGUGUUAAAUCGAAAUUAUGCACAUUAAUUAGUUUAAAAAUCCGUUAAAUCAUCGGCAAUACGAUUAAAAUUAUUCGCACGCGGAGGAAAUACCGUGGGUAGUUGUUAGUUGCCUGAAAAUAGGAGGAAUCGGAUAUUAAGCCAAUUACGAUCUAUUUUGACCAUGGUUGGUUCACACACGUGCGUUGAACUGUGGAUCACGACAACGCCCAGUUCUUUUUACAAUGGAACCGAACCGCUCGAUCUGUCCCACAAUCCCCUCGGUUCUUCGAAAAGAGAGAGCCGAAUCACUUUCCAAAUAUGAUUCGAGAACCGGAUAAGAAGAGAUGGAACAUUAUUUACCAGUUGGAUAUGAUAUUACUCGAAUUGACGACCAGAUACCACUUUUCCACAGUCAUCGCGGUCACAUUCCCGAUGCUUGCGAAUCCCACGGUAGACAUAAAGAUGGCAUAACUGUGAAAACCAUAAAAUGAGGAAAUUAAUUAGAUUGCCGACUUCAGGUUUGCAGUUACGAAAGUUAUGAAUAUAAGAUUUGAUAUAUACAGUGGCAUUAUUCCCUGUAGUUUACAGAAGAUUAAUUGGCGUGAUACACUAGCGGAUGAACUGAACGGAAACUGAAGAUGCGUCAGGUACCACAACCACAUUUAUCCUGCACGAUAAUUACAUUGUCGCGGACAAUCGGCGUGUUUUCUCAAAUAAUUUCGAAUUGGCAAAAUUCGAAAUCCAUCGGAUGUGUAUUAAUCCCCUGAUCCAUCCAAUUCGCCAGACAAGAUAAUAUACCGAAACCAAAUGUAGCGGCUUUUAUGACAUUAUUGUGUCAGACUGGCUUUGAAAAAAUGUAUCAUAUAUUUUGUCGAUCAAAGUAGCCUUGAAAGGUGAAAAAUAUAAUGUUUUUAAUAUUCCGGAAACUUUAAAUUAAAUAUUUUUCAAAGGAAAAGAUUUUAGAACAAAGACUAAAAAGAGUAACUAAAAGAAUGAAGACAAAUAUACAACACAAAAUAUAAAUGACAGAAUACUUUUAAAAAUUAUAAUAAUAGAAGAAAUAAUGAAUACGCUGAUAAUGAAUAAAAAUUGAAUAUAUUAAAAAUGAGUCAACUAACGGUAUCUCUUAACGAGAUAAUAUUCAUAAAUGAAAUUGCCAAAGAUCUCGUUGUCGGUGUGAUGUUAUGGAGGGAAGACAACAGUGAUAAAUGAAUUAAGAAAUGUAAUAAAGUAAAGUUUGCAUCUAAAAGCCUUUAAUAAUGCCGCCUAUAACGAAUGUCCCGUAACAAAAUUUACUUUUUUUAGUUCUUUUGAUAACCCAUUGAUGGAAAACUCUCUCAGUCAAUUUUUAAGUCCUCUUCCCCACCACAAAGAUAGUGACGGGAUGAAAUCGGAUUAACAGAUGAUGCGCUAUUUCUUCUGUUCUACUCUUAACAGUUGCUCUAUAGUUUCGUAUAUGCAGUACCCACUAGGCCCUUUACUCCUGCCCACGUCUUGCCAAGCUGUGCUGUGGAGUCUCGUGUCUACAGUCGCACUAGGGCCACUGCCAGAUAGCUACUCUCAAGGUACUAAACCGAUACGUUUUAUGGGAGUAGUAAUCUGACAAUGGCCCGGAAGGAUGGUUAAAGAUGGUAUAUGUAAUAAAUAUUCGUAUCUUAGUAACUUAAAACAAUGUUUGCCCGAGCCGAAUCGUUUCGUUUACAUCUGUAUCGUAAACGGACAAUAUGUACAUGUAUAUGAAAUGAGCAACAUAAUGAUACAGAAAUAUAAAAUUAUAGUCAUUGCUCGGGUAUGACGCUAUAGUGAACCGGCUAAAUUAUUUUAUAUUUUGGAUACAUUUCCGCGGAGACGGCAUAAAUGUAGCAACUAGGUAAACAUCAACACAAGAGUUAAAGAUGAAGCGAAAGGGAAGGAAACUGAAAAUGACGAUAUUGGAAUGAACUGAAGUCGGCGGGAAACAGGCUCCAAUAUCUCCUCAGAGUGUAAUUUCAAUUAAUAAACAAUAAGUUAUACCAUUGGCACAUUCCGUAGCCCCAGUACCACCUUCCAGUGAUUAUGGAAACCAAAACCAUCGAAUUCCCGAAGACAACCACUAUGAAAUCGCAGACCUGCACAGAAUACGAAGAGAAAUUAUUUUCACCGAAUUUCAAUUAUUCACUAUUGAACUGCGAGUACACAGGCCAAGUAAAAUUUUCUUUGGCGGAAUUUACAAACGUCACGGGCAAACUAACGUUUAACUUUUUUUAAAUCGAUUGACGUUGUUAAGAGCUACGAACAAUUAAAGAUCGCGAAAAUUACACUUUUGUUCCGACAUUUUACGCUUUUAACCAAUACCUGUCAGAAAUAUGCAGUUUUUAAAAUCUUUCAACGCAGCUUACUCUGUGUUAACCGAUUUCGAUGAAACUUUCAGCAUGCAUAUAGAUUACCGAGAUCUACAAAACACAUUUUUUAAAUUUUCGUUUUAGGUUUAGAUGAAAAAGUUAUACGACGUGAGUUUUUUUGUUCUUUUUUGUCAUUCCAGGUAAUAGCAAAAUAAAAAUAAAGUAUUUUAGUCA